RNAcentral lists this ribosomal RNA (563 nucleotides) under uncultured bacterium. RNAcentral describes it as "bacterial SSU rRNA". It matches the Rfam family "Bacterial small subunit ribosomal RNA", at positions 338 to 916 of the family's 1533-position model. The record is from RNAcentral.
CCUACGGGAGGCAGCAGUGGGGAAUCUUGCGCAAUGGGCGAAAGCCUGACGCAGCAACGCCGCGUGCGGGAUGAAGGCCCUCGGGUUGUAAACCGCUUUCAGCAGGGACGAAAAUGACGGUACCUGCAGAAGAAGCCCCGGCUAACUACGUGCCAGCAGCCACGGUAAUACGUAGGGGGCAAGCGUUGUCCGGAUUUAUUGGGCGUAAAGAGCUCGUAGGCGGUUCCGUAAGUCGAGUGUGAAAAAUCUGGGCUCAACCCAGUGGAGCACUCGAUACUGCGGUGACUAGAGUACGGUAGAGGAGUGUGGAAUUCCUGGUGUAGCGGUGAAAUGCGCAGAUAUCAGGAGGAACACCAACGGCGAAGGCAGCACUCUGGGCCGGUACUGACGCUGAGGAGCGAAAGCGUGGGGAGCAAACAGGAUUAGAUACCCUGGUAGUCCACGCCGUAAACGUUGGGCACUAGGUGUGGGAAGGAAUCAACCCUUUCCGUGCCGUAGCUAACGCAUUAAGUGCCCCGCCUGGGGAGUACGGCCGCAAGGCUAAAACUCAAAGGAAUUGACGG